Molecule: long non-coding RNA, 2116 nt
Organism: Trichoplusia ni (cabbage looper)
Lineage: Eukaryota; Metazoa; Arthropoda; Insecta; Lepidoptera; Noctuidae
Exons: 3
Source: RefSeq, a predicted model, not a curated record
UAAUAUCAAUAAAAACAACUUAUUAAUUUAUAUUAUAUUAUCAUCGCACGACUCGUAAAAACCUAUGAUUCAAUAACCUUUAAUAACAAACCUUUUUUAUUAUUGCAUCAAAUGCAACACAAUGACGAAUACAGAUUGAAUGAAUGAAAAAUUAAUAAAUCGUCAAAUGUGACAGAGAUGUGAAAAGUAAGUAAUGCAGGUCAAAACCGAAUUAUUACGAAAUAAUUAUUUUGACUAUAAACGUUUUUGCUCCUUCCUUAUUUAGCGAAAAUUGAAUGAUAAUCAAACCACACCUAAGGUUGCACCUCAACCAUUUGAUAAAAAGAAGAAGUAUAAUUGCCUGCGCUGACGCGGCAGCUCAGGAUUAAGGACUCCGGUUGGGUCCGAAACUAAAUAGUCGGGCUACCCCGAUGAAUACGCGUUUGAAACAGUAAUAAAACUGCAGUGUGAGAAUCGAUCGACUUUACAUGCAAGUGAUAAAUACGAAUCAAUUGUGGGAAUAAUGUUUCUAAGCGUUAGUGCAAGAACUCUCAUUAUUAAGUACCACUUAGUGGUUGUUCAUAACGUAGUACAGCGAUAAACUGUGAACCUGCGACCACCAUUAUAACUACGUCAUUUUUUGAUGUGAGUGAGAUAGCGCAUUACAUGGCGUGGACUUUUGUAGAGCAGCCUCUUGUUUCCACAUCCACGACAGUUUUAGUUUAAGAGGUUGUGUCCCCUGUUUGCCACACGAGGUGAGGCAAGGGUGGGACAAUCUGUCACGAGCAAUCACUUUUGAACGGUCUUUAAGGCCUUCAGCAACAUACAUUCACAGGUUUCCAAUGAUCCUUAUCAACAAAAGUGAUUGCUUAUUUCCUACUCUACAAAAUUCUCAGUUUAAGCUCAUGUGAAUCAAUGUUUGUGAGUUAUUGAAAUGAAUAUGCCUACUUAUAAUAUAAAAUACUCAUUCAUACAAUAGUUCUUAGAUCCUCGACUGUUUUCUAACUUUAUUUUAUCAGGCGUUUGCGUCUUAAGCGACAGCGUAAUUAAAAUCAAACCUUGUGUUUUGAUAACAUGUCAAUAUACAUACCUACACUUUGUUCACAACGAUCUUAUAUAUGAGAACAUGACCAAAGGAACUUUUCAAUAACCCAUACAUACCUACAUAUAUUUCAUUUUAUUUUGGCACAAAACCAGUUAUUUUUACUGCUAAGUCUGAAACUAAUAUUAAUGCGGAAGAGAGAUGCCAUUCUACGAGUAUCGCUAUAUACUCGUAAAGUGGCAUCUCUGUCUCGCUCCCACAACCAUGAUAAUAUUACUUUAAGACGGUUUCUGGUAGGUGGUAGACCCUAAGGUCGCCGUAAACUGGUUUUAACACUUACACAUUUUUUUUUCGCAAGAAGGUCUUAAUUACAAGUCAUAUCAACCUUUUCAUUGAAAAAAUGGCGCCCAACAUUCUUUUAAGUUAAGCAUUUUACGAUGAAGAAAUAAUGGCUGCGUUAUCCUUGAGACAAUUACUUCAACUAUAGGAUAAGCCUAUAUAUCUAAAGAGUUACUAUCUAUUGUUAUAUUUUAAUUAUACAGCUUAGCUUAAUAGGUAGCUGGUACCUCUGCCUCUAUUUUUUCUCAUAAUUUUUGCUGUUGCGUAUAACAUAAACAGAUCAUAAUCUAUUGUUGUAUCACAAAUCUCUCAUAUGUAUAAAAGAGAAACGAACUCGACCAUGUAAAUGGCAAUAAACGUACCGGUAACAUCGUAAAUUAUACUUUUCACACUAAACUUACGCAAUAUUAUAGUUUCCCAGAAGGACAUACCUACUCCGUCAAUUUAAUUAGUAUUAGUUUCGCGUAUGUCAGCAAUUGCAUCACAUUUUCGGAGAAAGCAACAUUUGUACGCUUCGGUGGUCACUAAACACCCAAACACAUGUACUUAACCGGCAAUUAUUCAAUAUGCCACUAGUUUAGACUCAUACUAAUUAUACGGUCAUUAACGCGCUCUACGGAUAUUCAAUCACUUAAAAUUUAUGUUCGAUAUCAUAAUUAGCAAUUACCUAUACCAUGCUAGCUGAUUCUUGUAAUACGAAAGAAAUCUACAAUGUUUUUUUUACUUUAAAUUAUUGAAACAUUCUGUGAGCAGGAU